This 73-nucleotide transfer RNA is filed under the name Stegodyphus mimosarum. It matches the Rfam family "tRNA". From Rfam's summary of the family: Transfer RNA (tRNA) molecules are approximately 80 nucleotides in length. The record is from Rfam by way of RNAcentral. Lineage: Eukaryota; Metazoa; Arthropoda; Arachnida; Araneae; Eresidae.
GAUUUUGUGGUGUAGUAGUCAGCCCGCUGGGUCCGUAUUCCAGAGGUCCGUGGUUCGAGUCCCGGCGAAAACG